RNAcentral lists this ribosomal RNA (492 nucleotides) under uncultured bacterium. Its description in RNAcentral is "partial 16S ribosomal RNA". It matches the Rfam family "Bacterial small subunit ribosomal RNA", at positions 29 to 507 of the family's 1533-position model. The record is from RNAcentral.
AGUGAACGCUGGCGGUAGGCCUAACACAUGCAAGUCGAACGGCAGCACAGUAAGAGCUUGCUCUUACGGGUGGCGAGUGGCGGACGGGUGAGGAAUACAUCGGAAUCUACUUUUUCGUGGGGGAUAACGUAGGGAAACUUACGCUAAUACCGCAAACGACCUACGGGUGAAAGCAGGGGAUCUUCGGACCUUGCGCGAUUGAAUGAGCCGAUGUCGGAUUAGCUAGUUGGCGGGGUAAAGGCCCACCAAGGCGACGAUCCGUAGCUGGUCUGAGAGGAUGAUCAGCCACACUGGAACUGAGACACGGUCCAGACUCCUACGGGAGGCAGCAGUGGGGAAUAUUGGACAAUGGGCGCGAGCCUGAUCCAGCCAUACCGCGUGGGUGAAGAAGACCUUCGGGUUGUAAAGCCCUUUUGUUGGGAAAGAAAAGCAGCAGGUUAAUACCCCGCUGUUCUGACGGUACCCAAAGAAUAAGCACCGGCUAACUUCGUG